CCUAAUACAUGCAAGUCGAGCGGUUCCUUCGGGAACAGCGGCGGACGGGUGAGUAACGCGUGGGAACGUGCCCUUUGGUACGGAACAACUGAGGGAAACUUCAGCUAAUACCGUAUGUGCCCUUCGGGGGAAAGAUUUAUCGCCAUUGGAGCGGCCCGCGUUGGAUUAGGUAGUUGGUGAGGUAAAGGCUCACCAAGCCUACGAUCCAUAGCUGGUCUGAGAGGAUGAUCAGCCACACUGGGACUGAGACACGGCCCAGACUCCUACGGGAGGCAGCAGUAGGGAAUCUUGCGCAAUGGGCGAAAGCCUGACGCAGCCAUGCCGCGUGAAUGAUGAAGGUCUUAGGAUUGUAAAAUUCUUUCACCGGGGACGAUAAUGACGGUACCCGGAGAAGAAGCCCCGG
Molecule: ribosomal RNA, 403 nt
Filed under: grassland soil clone saf1_305
Lineage: Bacteria
Description: bacterial SSU rRNA
Rfam family: Bacterial small subunit ribosomal RNA
Source: RNAcentral